Molecule: non-coding RNA, 31 nt
Filed under: Mus musculus (house mouse)
Lineage: Eukaryota; Metazoa; Chordata; Mammalia; Rodentia; Muridae
Source: RNAcentral
UGGUCAUGAUAGUCAGGUAUCCCAUUCAUAU